RNAcentral lists this ribosomal RNA (429 nucleotides) under uncultured bacterium. Its description in RNAcentral is "partial 16S ribosomal RNA". It matches the Rfam family "Bacterial small subunit ribosomal RNA", at positions 338 to 795 of the family's 1533-position model. The record is from RNAcentral.
CCUACGGGUGGCAGCAGUGGGGAAUAUUGGACAAUGGGCGAAACCUGAUCCAGCCAUGCCGCGUGUGUGAAGAGGUCUUCGGAUUGUAAGCACUUUAAGUUGGGAGGCGUUACCGACAGAAUAAGCACCGGCUAACUCUGUGCCAGCAGCCGCGGUAAUACAGAGGGUGCAAGCGUUAAUCGGAAUUACUGGGCGUAAAGCGCGCGUAGGUGGUUUGUUAAGUUGGAUGUGAAAGCCCCGGGCUCAACCUGGGAACUGCAUCCAAAACUGGCAAGCUAGAGUACGGUAGAGGGUGGUGGAAUUUCCUGUGUAGCGGUGAAAUGCGUAGAUAUAGGAAGGAACACCAGUGGCGAAGGCGACCACCUGGACUGAACUGACACUGAGGUGCGAAAGCGUGGGGAGCAAACAGGAUUAGAUACCCUUGUAGUC